This 460-nucleotide ribosomal RNA is filed under the name uncultured bacterium. RNAcentral describes it as "partial 16S ribosomal RNA". It matches the Rfam family "Bacterial small subunit ribosomal RNA", at positions 338 to 795 of the family's 1533-position model. The record is from RNAcentral.
CCUACGGGUGGCAGCAGUGAGGAAUAUUGGUCAAUGGACGAGAGUCUGAACCAGCCAAGUAGCGUGAAGGAUGACUGCCCUAUGGGUUGUAAACUUCUUUUAUAUGGGAAUAAAAUGUUCCACGUGUGGGAUUUUGUAUGUACCAUAUGAAUAAGGAUCGGCUAACUCCGUGCCAGCAGCCGCGGUAAUACGGAGGAUCCGAGCGUUAUCCGGAUUUAUUGGGUUUAAAGGGAGCGUAGGUGGAUUGUUAAGUCAGUUGUGAAAGUUUGCGGCUCAACCGUAAAAUUGCAGUUGAAACUGGCAGUCUUGAGUACAGUAGAGGUGGGCGGAAUUCGUGGUGUAGCGGUGAAAUGCUUAGAUAUCACGAAGAACUCCGAUUGCGAAGGCAGUUCACUGGACUGCAACUGACACUGAGGCUCGAAAGCGUGGGUAUCAAACAGGAUUAGAUACCCGAGUAGUC